UAUUCACAGAUAUUUAAGCAUUCAAACGAAUCACAGUGUAGUUUAUCAAAAUUACAACUAUGAAAAGUUUGCAUUUAUUGUUCAUUUCUGUUUUAAUCUUUUUAUGUUACCUAACACCUACACUAUCUCAAAGAGAUUUACCAGGAAAGGAUUGCAGAACUCCGGAUAAAUUUUUCAAUCCCGAAGGAAAGUGGCAGUGUUUAUGUAACGAAUGGAAGGUAGUACAAAUGUGUAGAAUGGAAGAAGGUUGAAGGUUAUAAUACCCCGUCAACAUCGACAAACUUUUUCAUUUACUUUUAUUUAUUAAAAGAAAAAUUAUAAUAAACUAGUACAUUUUUACCGAAGUGCGAUUAACUCUAA
This is a long non-coding RNA of Wyeomyia smithii (pitcher-plant mosquito), 360 nucleotides long. RefSeq lists it as uncharacterized. The transcript is spliced from 2 exons. The record is from RefSeq and is a predicted model, not a curated record. NCBI's taxonomy places the organism in Eukaryota, Metazoa, Arthropoda, Insecta, Diptera, Culicidae.